AAACCUAGACAGCAGAGACACCACUCUGCUGACAAAGGAAAAAAGUCAGGAAGGUGCCUGUGAGGGGAACGGGCUCGUCAGCUGGACGUGGCACUCAUGUCCCCGUGUGGACACUUGUCCAGCAUCACAUCGUGCACCUUGAACUUAUACAACUUUUAUCUGCCAACGAUACUUCCAUAAAACUGGAAAAUAAUGCUGAGGACCAGCUUCCAGCUGCCCAUGUGUGAUUCAGGGACCCACAGAGUCUGGAAGUUGAGAGAUUGUUUUAUGAGGAGGAGCCUGCAGGUCAGAGAUGUUCCACUGCCUGGAGAUAAACAUGCAAUACUCCAAGGCAGCCACUCAUUUAUAGAUGAGAAAAUCAGAGCCAAGAGAAGCUGAACAUCUUGUUCAAAUCAGGAGCAACAUUAAAGCCCUAACUGGAGUGAA
Molecule: long non-coding RNA, 426 nt
Organism: Odocoileus virginianus texanus
Lineage: Eukaryota; Metazoa; Chordata; Mammalia; Artiodactyla; Cervidae
Source: RefSeq, a predicted model, not a curated record